Long non-coding RNA from Acanthaster planci (crown-of-thorns starfish), 597 nucleotides. RefSeq lists it as uncharacterized. The record is from RefSeq and is a predicted model, not a curated record. Lineage: Eukaryota; Metazoa; Echinodermata; Asteroidea; Valvatida; Acanthasteridae.
UGCUCCUCAAUCUCAGCAUCAGAGAGACUUACACCCCAUAUACGCACCUGUCAUAAAAACAACAUUGCUCAGCAAUCUUCUAAAAGUGAUAUCGCCAAUAUGAUCAUCAUCUGCAUCUUCCUGCCCACUGUUGGGAUGUUGGGGACAGUUGUCCUUCAAGACAAAAUCAACAUAUUUUAGAGUCUCACCUCUAGGCCAAGUACAGUACUGAUCGCUGCAGAGAAGUGUCAUCUCUGGCCGACCAUCGAGAUCGGUGUCAAUGCCGCAAUAGACUCCAUUGCCCGCCCAGCCGUUGUUGCACUUUCAAAAACAAACAACUGAUGUUAAAGUCACCGGCAGAGAAGAAAGAGCCACAUGACUUCAAAGUUUUUCAUCUGACCCAGCUAGCAUACAAAAAGUACUCUGCAUCAGAAUAUACGUAGAAUGAUAAAUUGGUAAUUUAGCGAUCUAGAGGUAUUAUCAGGCUUCAGUUGUUGGCUAAUCCUUGCCUUCAACAUGUAUCUCCAGGUACCUUGGUUUGAAUCCCACCUAGUGCAUCAUUUUGUCAACUUUAAUCUUGUUUAUUUCUGUGUAGCAUAAGUAUAACAUUUCUCCUAU